Molecule: non-coding RNA, 360 nt
Organism: Silurus meridionalis
Lineage: Eukaryota; Metazoa; Chordata; Actinopteri; Siluriformes; Siluridae
Source: the annotation of a RefSeq genome assembly
AUGACUCAACUCUACAACUUACUGUACAUAGUGAGAUACACAACACUAAUUCUCACUGUAGCUACAGGCAGUUUUGCAGAUAAAAUUGGGCCGACAGAUGAAGAUGUCAAUGGGAAGGAAACAGAAACUGUUACUCUCAAAUGUUCAUAUGAGACAAAUAAUCAAUACAUUUUGCUUUACUGGUACAAACAAAAUCCAAACAGUGCACCACAGUUUUUACUGUAUAAAGGCGCACGAUCAGAAAGUGCAGAGCGUAAACCCACUGACACUCGAUUAGAGUCCAAAACUACCAGCGACUCUACUGAACUUAUUAUCAGAGGUCUAAAGCUCUCAGAUUCUGCUCUCUAUCACUGCAGGUAA